This 1366-nucleotide long non-coding RNA is filed under the name Gallus gallus (chicken). RNAcentral describes it as "long non-coding RNA NONGGAT001507". The record is from RNAcentral. Lineage: Eukaryota; Metazoa; Chordata; Aves; Galliformes; Phasianidae.
UGGGAACCAAAAUUCCUCCAUGAUAAAAUGAAAUGGUGCUGUGCCCCCAGCCAACAUCUGCUGGAAAAGAAUCCAGGAUGCUGACGCCCAGCAAACUGUCACGGCUGCCUGGGAUUGGUGACAUCUCGAGUGACACGUGUUGGAUCGUCAGAUCAGAGUGGGAGCAGCACAGCUUUGGGAGCCUAAAAAUAGGUACUGUCAUUCUGAGCCGAAGCCUCUCUGCUCCUUCCCACCCCAGCCCGCCCUGCCUGUUUGGCACGUGCAGCACAUAACCGGAGCACUCACGUUGUACCAAAGAAAAGCCACGUUCCUAAAGCAAGCAGUGUGGUGAGCAGCGGGCACAUUAUCCAUAGACAACGGGUACAGAAAGGAGUACAUUGGCUCUGCUGCACUGCCUGUGGAAAAGCAUCAGAGGUGUUCAGAGAUGCUCCAUAGAAUAGGGAGUUUGAAUUCCUUUCACUGGACAGCUGCUCACAUACUUGUAAUUGAGUGACUGAAUGGUGAAUGUAGCACGUUUGAUUUUCCUGUGGAUCUGUUCUCCCUUACAUUGUGAAGCUCUGUGAACCUUAGUCAUGCUUUCACUUGUUUUUUUAAGUCUACUCACUGGAGCAUGUGUCAGCAUCUGCCAAACCCCAAUAAGCUACAUUUCAUUAAAAAACCAAAACCAGCAGAUUAUUCAGAAAGAGUGAAGUUUGAUUCACAGAGAUAACACUCUUUGAAGAUGUCUGCUCCUUCAGUAGUGACUGAUUUAAAUGGGUUCCAUUUUAGUAUGCCUGUUAGGCCGUUCUCGAGGCCACACAAAGGAGGAGGAAUUGUGUGAGGCCAUAUAAAUCAGGGUUUGUUAUAGUGAAGUCAAACACAACUGCACUGUGGGGUGUUAAUAGGGAGCAGGCAAGAAGUCAAAAGCAAGUCAGAGCCAAUGAACAAAAGCCACAAAGCUAAUCUGUCUGGUUCUUGGUGCUUCUCAGAAGUGCAGCGUCUGCACGCUCACGGUACGCUCUGGAAGAAGCUUGGGGUGUCAGGCUGAUCCAUAUCACCUUUUCAAAGUGCUCCAGUAAUUGGAUGAGUAGGUUUGGUGGAACAUCUGUGGUUCUCAAUUUCUCCCACCGGGAAAGAUCUGAAAAUGAAGCUGUGCGAGCGCAUCACUUGCCCAGGUCUCGUCCUACUUGUUAACGCCAAGGUCACUUCUCUGAAUUCAUUCUCAGCUGAAACAGUGGUGAGGGCAGGCAGGCCACUGGGCACAUGGGCGAGGGACCUGUGGGACUGCGCUCCCAUUGAAUAGUUCUUCAUUGUGUGGAGGAAAACUCCCUACUUUUGUGAGUGCUGAUAAGAGUUUCCUCCUUUUCCUGUAGUACUUUGUGGGCAG